Molecule: ribosomal RNA, 351 nt
Filed under: uncultured Lactobacillus sp.
Lineage: Bacteria; Bacillati; Bacillota; Bacilli; Lactobacillales; Lactobacillaceae
Description: bacterial SSU rRNA
Rfam family: Bacterial small subunit ribosomal RNA
Source: RNAcentral
GGAGACGAGGUGGUGCAUGGCUGUCGUCAGCUCGUGUCGUGAGAUGUUGGGUUAAGUCCCGCAACGAGCGCAACCCUUGUCUUUAGUUGCCAUCAUUAAGUUGGGCACUCUAAAGAGACUGCCGGUGACAAACCGGAGGAAGGUGGGAUGACGUCAAGUCAUCAUGCCCCUUAUGACCUGGGCUACACACGUGCUACAAUGGGCAGUACAACGAGAAGCAAACCCGCGAGGGUAAGCGGAUCUCUUAAAGCUGCUCUCAGUUCGGACUGCAGGCUGCAACUCGCCUGCACGAAGCUGGAAUCGCUAGUAAUCGCGGAUCAGCACGCCGCGGUGAAUACGUUCCCGGGCCUU